This 389-nucleotide ribosomal RNA is filed under the name uncultured bacterium. Its description in RNAcentral is "bacterial SSU rRNA". It matches the Rfam family "Bacterial small subunit ribosomal RNA", at positions 30 to 429 of the family's 1533-position model. The record is from RNAcentral.
AUUGAACGCUGGCGGCAUGCCUAACACAUGCAAGUCGAACGGGGUGUAGCAAUACAUCUAGUGGCGGACGGGUGAGGAAUACAUAGGAAUUUGCCCUUAAGUGGGGGAUAGUCCGGGGAAACUCGGUUUAAUACCGCAUGAUCUCGUGAGAGCAAAGCAGGGGACCGCAAGGCCUUGCGCUUUUGGAGAAGCCUAUGUCGGAUUAGCUAGUUGGUAGGGUAAUGGCCUACCAAGGCGACGAUCCGUAACUGGUCUGAGAGGAUGAUCAGUCACACCGGAACUGAGACACGGUCCGGACUCCUACGGGAGGCAGCAGUGGGGAAUAUUGGACAAUGGGCGCAAGCCUGAUCCAGCAAUGCCGCGUGUGUGAAGAAGGCCUCGGUUGUAAG